Molecule: unclassified non-coding RNA, 117 nt
Organism: Callithrix jacchus (white-tufted-ear marmoset)
Lineage: Eukaryota; Metazoa; Chordata; Mammalia; Primates; Cebidae
Rfam family: Metazoan signal recognition particle RNA
About the family: The signal recognition particle (SRP) is a universally conserved ribonucleoprotein. It is involved in the co-translational targeting of proteins to membranes. The eukaryotic SRP consists of a 300-nucleotide 7S RNA and six proteins: SRPs 72, 68, 54, 19, 14, and 9.
Source: Ensembl
GCCAGGCAUCGUGGCUUAUGCCUGUAAUCCCAGCACUUUGGGAGGCAGAGGUGGGUGGAUCACCUGAGGUCAGGAGUUCAAGACCAGCCUGGCCAACAUGGUGAGACCCCAUCUCUA